AUCAGACUUAUCUUUUUCGUUUUGGGCGGAAUCUGAUUCUUAACUCCUUUGCAAUACUCACAGUCACAGCCAAGGCUAGCAAUUGAAAUCGUCAUCUGCCAAUAAAAGUUUGAUAAAUGCUUUUCAGAGAAUUCCCCUGCGUAUUCAAAUCACAAUCACAGGGUAGACGUACUAAGUACCCACUACUUUUGAAGGUCUGAAAAGAAAUGGUUUUGAUGAAGCUCCUGACACCAAAAUCCAAAACCACAGUCAUUACAAACAGUACUAAGACUACAAAUGCGAUAUUGGUCUGGUCUAAUCGGUCAGAUUCAUUGACCAACUUGGUACAUUAACACUAGCUAAAUCAUUGCGAGGAAGCAUUGCGAGGAAGCAUCCCUUAAACUCGGUGUGUUUUGAAAAGGGAAAUGGACCCAACGCAUAACAAGGUCAAACUAACCCACCUAAGUCUGUGGUUAAUAGUCAAACCUAAAAGCUACUUUGAGGAAUGCUUAUAGUAUUCUAAGAUAUCAGGCAACACCAACAUGGUAUGGGAUCAUAAUGGAAAGCUCCACUUUAACAAUCUAUCAUUUUUCUAUAACAAAGAAGGAGCUGCCGAAAGUGAUAACACAUGUCUAUUGGCCUAUGCAUAUAUGCUAUUGCUAUGGCGUGUCUAUUGGCAUUGAUCUGCAAUUACAUACUCAAAAUCCAAUUAGUAGUAAUUUAAAACCAAGAUAAGAGACAAAACAUUUCCAUCCAAUUUAACGAACAUGGCUAGAUUUCCAAGCAUCUAUGUGACUUAGUGACCGUCUUGAGAAUACCUCAACUAAGAGAAGUUGAAGUCUAAGGAUUUUAAAUUCUAAAUAGUGUUCUCUUAUUUUACAAAAAAAUGCUUGAUAUCUUAUCCCAAUCUUAAACAGAUUCUCCUAAUAUCAAACUCCCCAUCCUGAAACUGAAACAAAUCCGAGGCAUAUAUUGUUCAAAACCAUCUAAAUAAAGUUGGAAUCCGUAACCCUCAGUAAACUACUAAUAACUGAUCAUUAUUAGCAGCAUGCUGAGAUUAUGUUUUCUAUGUCACUGUGAGAUCUUGGGAAUCCUGCAGUUUAAAAGGGAACAAGAUCUCAUAAACAAAAGGAGCUCCAGAUAAAGCUCCAAGAUCCUAGUCACUUGUGAUUGGAUGGGAAAUAGAUAAAGUGCCAGGCAAAAAUAUAUUUUACACUGCCCUAUAGUAAGAAGUGGAAGCUUAAGAGCGAAUAAGGCUUUUCAUAAAAAAGAAGUUUCAUUGGUUAACAACAUAAGAAUGUGACUUACAGGUAAUACAGGUCCACUAUACAUCUGAGAGAUACGAGAUGGUAUCAAAUCAUAUUUUGUCAUAUACCAUACUCCGAGGGGGAAAUUGCAACAAAAUGUAAGAAGCAAGACUAUGUAAGACAGAAGCAUUACUAGGCACAAAGUAAAAUCUGAUUGUAGCUGUGAAAGAGAUGGUUUUAAAUAGUAUCAUAGAGCUUUAUGCAAAGCCCUCGUUUCUGGACUAAAACUAAAAACUUGGAUCAAUAAGAAGAUUCAUAUCUGAACUUUUGGAUUUAAUGGCAUUUAGAGAUUCAGAUAAUUCAGAACCAUGCAAAUAAAAAAUGGAAAAAGUAUGUCGGCAUACCAUUGUAGAGGAUAAAGGUGGACACAAAAGGUUGCGCCAACACAUCCAAACACCGCAAGAAGUUCUCUACAUAAUUAAGAAAAAGGAAUGAUUAGUAGGAAAGAUUGAUAAAAUAUCCUACUGACAAAAAAGUUCACAAAAUGACCAUCAAUGAGAAAUGGAAUUUAAAGGUAAUGAAUAGGUCCCACGAAAG
This 1823-nucleotide long non-coding RNA is filed under the name Capsella grandiflora. RNAcentral's name for it is "long non-coding RNA (CGRA_LNC000466)". The record is from RNAcentral. Lineage: Eukaryota; Viridiplantae; Streptophyta; Magnoliopsida; Brassicales; Brassicaceae.